Molecule: ribosomal RNA, 681 nt
Filed under: uncultured Comamonadaceae bacterium
Lineage: Bacteria; Pseudomonadati; Pseudomonadota; Betaproteobacteria; Burkholderiales; Comamonadaceae
Description: bacterial SSU rRNA
Rfam family: Bacterial small subunit ribosomal RNA
Source: RNAcentral
AUUGAACGCUGGCGGCAUGCCUUACACAUGCAAGUCGAACGGCAGCACGGGAGCAAUCCUGGUGGCGAGUGGCGAACGGGUGAGUAAUACAUCGGAACGUGCCCAAUCGUGGGGGAUAACGCAGCGAAAGCUGUGCUAAUACCGCAUACGAUCUACGGAUGAAAGCAGGGGAUCGCAAGACCUUGCGCGAAUGGAGCGGCCGAUGGCAGAUUAGGUAGUUGGUGAGGUAAAGGCUCACCAAGCCGUCGAUCUGUAGCUGGUCUGAGAGGACGACCAGCCACACUGGGACUGAGACACGGCCCAGACUCCUACGGGAGGCAGCAGUGGGGAAUUUUGGACAAUGGGCGAAAGCCUGAUCCAGCCAUGCCGCGUGCAGGAUGAAGGCCUUCGGGUUGUAAACUGCUUUUGUACGGAACGAAACGGCCUUUUCUAAUAAAGAGGGCUAAUGACGGUACCGUAAGAAUAAGCACCGGCUAACUACGUGCCAGCAGCCGCGGUAAUACGUAGGGUGCAAGCGUUAAUCGGAAUUACUGGGCGUAAAGCGUGCGCAGGCGGUUAUGUAAGACAGUUGUGAAAUCCCCGGGCUCAACCUGGGAACUGCAUCUGUGACUGCUAGCUAGAGUACGGUAGAGGGGAUGGAAUUUCCGCGCGUACAAGAAAUGCGUAGAUAUGCGGAGAACA